AUUUUUGGUUUAAAUAAUAUAUUUUUGGCAGUUAUAAGUUGCAGAGGUGGGGAGUUUGUUCAGAUUUUCACGAAAUUAUUUUGAGUUUUAGAAUUUUGAUUCCUACCUCUAAUUCACUCUGUAAUGAGAUGUCUCACAUUUGACCAAGGGAACAUGAAGACUCAAUAAACAAUGAAGGAAUCGACGAAGACGAGCAAAUGAAGAAGGCUUGGGAGCAAGCGAGCCACUUUGGAAGGAAGUCUGUUAACUUUGUGCUGCAGCGAAGCACUCGAAGUGCUGCUGCACAUUUCCUCUAUUCGGCUCUAUUAACUUUGUACUGUAGCACGACUCUGUUACGGUACAUUUGGGAAGAUUUUGGGUGAGAUCUCCUUCUAAUAUUGUCGAGUUUUGUUUCCAUUUAAGCUUGUAUCUAAUAAAAUAGAGAGAUAUCAUAGAGAGACUAAUCGAGAGAAAAAGGAGAGAGCUUGGGAAAGAGAUCUAGGGUUCUUGGUGUAGCGAUCUCGGGUGGGAGUCGAGCGAAACUAAAUCUUUAUAUCUUGUAAUCUCCAUUCUUUAUAGUGGAUUAGUGAAUUGUACUAUGACGCUGCUUGUGAAGGUUUCUCCUUUCCCAUUAGAAGGGGUUUGCUUUCUCUUCGUUUGAUUGUUAACCACAUCGAGAUCUUUACACCCGACUAUGUGGGGGGUUUUUGCAUUUUCGGUUGAUGGGGGGGAUGGAUUGUUGCAUAUGGGGCAAUUGGAAGCGAAUUUUUGGUUAACAAACAUCAACAGUGGGAAUCAAUGAUUCCAUUUCCGAUUCCAUGGGAUUUUCAUAUCAAAACAAACUGUCCCAAUUCUUUACGAGGGAAUAUAGGGGGAGAGAGAGAGGGUAUCUAUGCAUAUAACAAGAUGGAUUCAUGGCAUGCUGCAUUGCUGCUCAUCGUCUCGCCAUCAGCAGGCACAUACAAAGAAGUUCCUUCUAGGUUGAAUCCCGGCGAGAGUUUCUGCAUUUCGGCAUCGGCUUGAAUCCCAGCAAGAGUUCCUUCUAUAGGUCCGCUGACGACCUCGCCGGGGGCGGUGGUAGCUGGGGUCGGCCCCCAGCGCCCCUCUCCUUCAACGUGCUCAGACUUGAUACAAAGCUGAUGAUAUCAAGAGAGGGGUUCACUCCUUGGAUUAAUGAGAUGACAAAUUUUGAGCUUCUCCAUUUCCAAACGAGGAAUCAGCUGAGUCUGGGAUGCUGAGAGAUGAUUCAAGCAUGAUAAGUACAGAGUCCAUUCCAGGAUAACCAUGAGGGAACUUUAUCCAAACAGUACAGAAUGAUUUGAGAUAUGAAAGUGACACAAAACCCGUAAAUGUGGACACAGCCAGAUAUCCGGCGAUAGUCUGAGGGACUCUGCAGGAAUAUCAGAAAUGCAGAUUGAUGAGCCUCACUCUGCUUAGUCACGGGUUGCUCUUUAAUAGUAAUGACUUUGCUUGGAAGGUAAGCAGCUUAAUGGUUAUUUUAGCUCCAUGUAUGACCGUUUAUGAAAGUUGAAUGAGAAGGAGGUCAUUAAGAUUGUCUAACACCGAGCUUAACCAGCCCUGAGUCAACUUGCGCUACGAUAUCAAGUUGAUUAUUACACAAGAUAUACUAGGUAAAAAUUUACCUACGAUAUCAAGAAGCACCAAGUGGCGGAAGCUGGAUUAAUAUAGUUUUUGGAGGAUGAAUAUUUGUCAGAAAUUGUAAAGGGUUCUUUUGAUUUGAAUUUGAGGGACCUUGCGAAAUGUCGAUUGGGAUGAACUAUUUCGUAGGUGUUGGGAAAAUUUUCUUUCUUAUUUCGAGGUUGCCUAUUUAAUUUAAGCAUUCAGGAAAAGAUUGUGAAUUCGGUGAGUUUUGGUUAGCCUUCUCCUAACAGAUUAUGUGGGCUUUAUGGCCCAUAACCCACCAAAAGGAAGUCAUGUUUUGAGGGCAUAGAAUGGCACGACACAGAGCUGUUUUUCUGUGUAGAACAGAGCUGAGCAAGGACGUGACAGAGCUGGAGAAAAUUCUGCAGAAUUGUGCAGGUUGCUAAGGUGCUUCGGGAGUCAAUUGGGAGGCGAGUUGUGAUCCGUUUUCUGCGAAACUUCAGAUGGUGAUUCCUGGUCGUAUAAGCUUCGUCUUGAUACGUUUAACUCAUCAAUGGGCGCUUAUUUGGCUGCCCAUCCAGCAGCCCUUUUUCGAUCCCUUUUGGUGAGAUUGUUUCGGUUAUCCACCAAUUAUCUUGGUGAAGAAUUUCUAGGUUAUCCAAGAAUUAUUUCUUGAUGAUUAAUUGGCAUUGUAUCCUCUGAUUAUAUCGGAAAAGAAACUAUCUAUCCUGCUA
Non-coding RNA from Punica granatum (pomegranate), 2315 nucleotides. Lineage: Eukaryota; Viridiplantae; Streptophyta; Magnoliopsida; Myrtales; Lythraceae. The record is from RefSeq and is a predicted model, not a curated record.